This 180-nucleotide ribosomal RNA is filed under the name uncultured bacterium. RNAcentral's name for it is "partial 16S ribosomal RNA". It matches the Rfam family "Bacterial small subunit ribosomal RNA", at positions 340 to 512 of the family's 1533-position model. The record is from RNAcentral.
UACGGGAGGCAGCAGUGGGGAAUAUUGCACAAUGGGCGCAAGCCUGAUGCAGCCAUGCCGCGUGUAUGAAGAAGGCCUUCGGGUUGUAAAGUACUUUCAGCGGGGAGGAAGGUGUUGUGGUUAAUAACCGCAGCAAUUGACGUUACCCGCAGAAGAAGCACCGGCUAACUCCGUGCCAGC